This 465-nucleotide ribosomal RNA is filed under the name uncultured bacterium. RNAcentral describes it as "partial 16S ribosomal RNA". It matches the Rfam family "Bacterial small subunit ribosomal RNA", at positions 28 to 507 of the family's 1533-position model. The record is from RNAcentral.
GACGAACGCUGGCGGCGUGCUUAACACAUGCAAGUCGAACGGAAAGGCCCUGCUUGCAGGGUACUCGAGUGGCGAACGGGUGAGUAACACGUGGGUGAUCUGCCCUGCACUUCGGGAUAAGCCUGGGAAACUGGGUCUAAUACCGGAUAGGAGCCAUUUUUAGUGUGAUGGUCGGAAAGUUUUUUCGGUGUAGGAUGAGCUCGCGGCCUAUCAGCUUGUUGGUGGGGUAAUGGCCUACCAAGGCGGCGACGGGUAGCCGGCCUGAGAGGGUGGACGGCCACAUUGGGACUGAGAUACGGCCCAGACUCCGACGGGAGGCAGCAGUGGGGAAUAUUGCACAAGGGGCGCAAGCCUGAUGCAGCGACGCCGCGUGGGGGAUGACGGCCUUCGGGUUGUAAACUCCUUUCGCUAGGGACGAAGCUUUUUGUGACGGUACCUAGAUAAGAAGCACCGGCUAACUACGUG